GUCUCUACAUUAUAUACAUAAUACAUUUCCUACUUUUACGAUUCAUAUUUUUACUGCUGUUUUAUUUUACUAUUUAUUUCACUAAAAAUUCUUAUUGGAACUAACCAAACUGAUUUUGUAACCUAUUUAUAGAGAACUACCUGUAAUUGGAGCGAAAAAAAUCUUCUUUUGGAAACUCCUUAAGAUAAAGUCUGCCUUACUGCACCCUACUGAGGUCUACCUGAAUGAAGGAAAAAGACUGUCCCGCGUAUUAAUUUCAACUAGAAAAGAGAUAAAGCGAAUUAAUUUUAAAAAUAUUUCUACU
Molecule: long non-coding RNA, 304 nt
Filed under: Pan troglodytes (chimpanzee)
Lineage: Eukaryota; Metazoa; Chordata; Mammalia; Primates; Hominidae
Description: lncRNA (ENSPTRG00000053619.1)
Source: RNAcentral